GUUUCACACGGCUGAUAACCUGAAUCGUCUCCUCACCAAGGAAGCCCACCCUGACCUCCUCUGGCUCUUGAGGUGACCUGGACUUCCUCUGUCGAAGAAUGUUGCCUCUUUCACGUGCUAAUCUCCCAUUCCAAGCUGGACCCCCUGACUGGGACCCCAAAGAGGGCUGUAUCUCCAGAGGCCGGCAAGAACCCAGCACAGGGCAGCCAUGGGGGCCAGGUGUUGGGUGAAUGAUAUCACUGAGCACCUGUUGCGUGCCGAACCCUUCACACACGAGUCCGGCGUUUAACAUCUUUCUUCUGGAAUGCUGGCUUUGCCAAGACUAGUGCAUAGCAAGCACUCCAGGAUUACGUGAUGGAAGUGCUGAGAUGAACUGUCACUCAGAGGAAAGAAGACUUCCUGAGGACGGGGCCUUAGCAGACUGAGCUCAUGAGACAGUAAAAAUAAGAAGAAAAUAAUAAUUGUCACUAUUUAUUAUGAUCCGGGAUCAUUAUUUAUUAUCAUUAUUUAUUAUGAUCCCAGAUCGUAAUAAAUGGUUCAUCUUCCCAGGGGGUUAGUACUGCUCUUGUGCCCAUCUCACAGAUGGGGGAACUGAGGCACAGAGAAGUAAAAGUAGAAACCCCAAGUCACACAGUCAGUGAGUGGCAGAGCCAGGAUUAGACCAACGCUGUUUGUCUGAGGAGACUGUCCUGAGCUUAUUACAACACACCUUCCAAAAAGAGAAGUGCUGAUGGCUGUACCCAUUUUGCAGAUGAGGAAGCAGAGGUUCUGAGAAGCGAAAGGGCUGGCCCGUGUCUGGAAGCAGAGAUGGUGGCUCAGCUGGAGACGCCCAAGGGAGCGCCCCAGCCUCCUGGGUUAGUGCUCUAAAGGAGGGGGGAGCUGUCCCCUGCCUGUUCUUGUGUCUGGCCAAUACCCCAGCCUCUGUUUACCCAGCCCAACACCCAAGAGCUGCCUCUUCCGCCUGCCCUGGAGUCUCGGGUGCCUUCACAAUAGGAUGCUCUGUCUGUGCAGCUGGUUUUCAUU
Bos taurus (domestic cattle) is the source of this 1023-nucleotide long non-coding RNA. NCBI's taxonomy places the organism in Eukaryota, Metazoa, Chordata, Mammalia, Artiodactyla, Bovidae. The record is from Ensembl.